GCAUUUUCGUGAUUUGUGCU
RNAcentral lists this small nuclear RNA (20 nucleotides) under Arabidopsis thaliana (thale cress). RNAcentral describes it as "snRNA_09487". The record is from RNAcentral. Lineage: Eukaryota; Viridiplantae; Streptophyta; Magnoliopsida; Brassicales; Brassicaceae.